RNAcentral lists this ribosomal RNA (1275 nucleotides) under Frigoribacterium sp. RNAcentral describes it as "bacterial SSU rRNA". It matches the Rfam family "Bacterial small subunit ribosomal RNA", at positions 112 to 1401 of the family's 1533-position model. The record is from RNAcentral. Lineage: Bacteria; Bacillati; Actinomycetota; Actinomycetes; Micrococcales; Microbacteriaceae.
AACACGUGAGUAACCUGCCCUUGACUCUGGGAUAAGCGCUGGAAACGGCGUCUAAUACCGGAUACGAGCUUCAGCCGCAUGGCUAGGAGUUGGAAAGAAUUUCGGUCAAGGAUGGACUCGCGGCCUAUCAGCUAGUUGGUGAGGUAAUGGCUCACCAAGGCGACGACGGGUAGCCGGCCUGAGAGGGUGACCGGCCACACUGGGACUGAGACACGGCCCAGACUCCUACGGGAGGCAGCAGUGGGGAAUAUUGCACAAUGGGCGAAAGCCUGAUGCAGCAACGCCGCGUGAGGGAUGACGGCCUUCGGGUUGUAAACCUCUUUUAGUAGGGAAGAAGCGAAAGUGACGGUACCUGCAGAAAAAGCACCGGCUAACUACGUGCCAGCAGCCGCGGUAAUACGUAGGGUGCAAGCGUUGUCCGGAAUUAUUGGGCGUAAAGAGCUCGUAGGCGGUUUGUCGCGUCUGCUGUGAAAUCUGGGGGCUCAACCCCCAGCCUGCAGUGGGUACGGGCAGACUAGAGUGCGGUAGGGGAGAUUGGAAUUCCUGGUGUAGCGGUGGAAUGCGCAGAUAUCAGGAGGAACACCGAUGGCGAAGGCAGAUCUCUGGGCCGUAACUGACGCUGAGGAGCGAAAGCGUGGGGAGCGAACAGGAUUAGAUACCCUGGUAGUCCACGCCGUAAACGUUGGGAACUAGAUGUGGGGACCAUUCCACGGUCUCCGUGUCGCAGCUAACGCAUUAAGUUCCCCGCCUGGGGAGUACGGCCGCAAGGCUAAAACUCAAAGGAAUUGACGGGGGCCCGCACAAGCGGCGGAGCAUGCGGAUUAAUUCGAUGCAACGCGAAGAACCUUACCAAGGCUUGACAUAUACCGGAAACGGCCAGAGAUGGUCGCCCCGCAAGGUCGGUAUACAGGUGGUGCAUGGUUGUCGUCAGCUCGUGUCGUGAGAUGUUGGGUUAAGUCCCGCAACGAGCGCAACCCUCGUUCUAUGUUGCCAGCACGUUAUGGUGGGAACUCAUAGGAGACUGCCGGGGUCAACUCGGAGGAAGGUGGGGAUGACGUCAAAUCAUCAUGCCCCUUAUGUCUUGGGCUUCACGCAUGCUACAAUGGCCGGUACAAAGGGCUGCGAUACCGUAAGGUGGAGCGAAUCCCAAAAAGCCGGUCUCAGUUCGGAUUGGGGUCUGCAACUCGACCCCAUGAAGUCGGAGUCGCUAGUAAUCGCAGAUCAGCAACGCUGCGGUGAAUACGUUCCCGGGCCUUGUACACACCGCCCGUCAAG